UCUGUGACUCACUCCAACACAAACGAUUGC
RNAcentral lists this small RNA (30 nucleotides) under Bombyx mori (domestic silkworm). RNAcentral describes it as "ovarian small RNA-30040". Lineage: Eukaryota; Metazoa; Arthropoda; Insecta; Lepidoptera; Bombycidae. The record is from RNAcentral.